UAUUUAUUUAAAUCCUUCUUUGUUAGGCUCCCCACUCUUGCCAUAUAAAUGUGAUAUCUUGGCAUGUGUUGUGGAUGCAGAUUCUUAUCUAACCCUCUCACUCAAACUCCUCUAUCUUCUAAAGUUUUAGUUACCUUAUUGUCUUUUCAUUUUUUUUCUUUUUUCCUUUUUCUUUUCUCCUUCUUCCUUGCUCUUAUCACAAGGUAAAAGGAGAUAUGGCAGAUUGCAAUAGAGAAGACUAUUUUGCUGCAGCCGAAGUUGAGGUAAC
Molecule: non-coding RNA, 268 nt
Organism: Arachis ipaensis
Lineage: Eukaryota; Viridiplantae; Streptophyta; Magnoliopsida; Fabales; Fabaceae
Source: RefSeq, a predicted model, not a curated record